AGGGUUUGAUUAUGGCUCAGAUUGAACGCUGGCGGGAUGCUUUACACAUGCAAGUCGAACAACGGCACGGACUUCGGUCUGGUGGCGAGUGGCGAACAGGUGAGUAAUGUAUCGGAACGUGCCUAUUAGCGGGGGAUAACUACGCGAAAGCGUAGCUAAUACAUACGCCCUUCGGGGGAAAGCAGGGGACCUUCGGGCCACUCGCAUUAGAGC
This 213-nucleotide unclassified non-coding RNA is filed under the name uncultured Bordetella sp. Its description in RNAcentral is "partial 16S-23S ribosomal RNA intergenic spacer". It matches the Rfam family "Bacterial small subunit ribosomal RNA", at positions 8 to 227 of the family's 1533-position model. Lineage: Bacteria; Pseudomonadati; Pseudomonadota; Betaproteobacteria; Burkholderiales; Alcaligenaceae. The record is from RNAcentral.